Salvia splendens (bonfire salvia) is the source of this 1872-nucleotide long non-coding RNA. RefSeq lists it as uncharacterized. The transcript is spliced from 13 exons. NCBI's taxonomy places the organism in Eukaryota, Viridiplantae, Streptophyta, Magnoliopsida, Lamiales, Lamiaceae. The record is from RefSeq and is a predicted model, not a curated record.
GGUCUAGGCAACUGGUAUGCUGUUUUAUCUUAUGAUGCAUCUGUCCGCCUAUGCCUCCACUCGUGGGCAAGGAGCUAUAUGAGAGCUCCUCCCUUUUUGGAAAAUGAAUGUUCACUGCUGAGGGAUGUAUUAGGUUAAGAAAUAUAUUAUUAAAAUCAGAGGAAAAGCUGACGAGGAAAGAUCAUUCUGAACUUGUGGGUGAAGGCGCUUACGUAAAGUCUAAGAAAACCAUCGGGAAGAUUAGAGUUCAAGUUCGUAAUGUGAAAAUGGGGACGAAGCAACCCACUGGUUUCACGUUUACAUCUUUAAAGUCUUCAUCCACGGUGAAGCUGGAAACAUUUCAGCAAAGGUUAUCAAAUGUGAAAUUGGUUGUUUCAUCCAACAAAAAGAAACAAAAAAAAGAAAAAAAAGAAAAAAAGAAAAAAAGGAAAAAAUGAAAAAGAGAAAAAAAAGAAAAAAAUAAAAAAAAUCUGACAUUGUAAGAGGCUCUCUUUAUUGCAUAGAAGCGUUGCACACUUAAUUGUUGGGACUCGUGGAUACUUGAAAGAAGUACCCAUGCUCAUAAAGCGCAUCAACUUAUGAAUUGGUGCAAGAAUCAUAUUCUUGUAUGUUGAGAUUGAAAAGUUCGUCCGAAGAGGAUGCAUUGGGAAUGCAACCGGGACCUGGUGAAGCUCGUGUUUUAUAUCUUGCCAGGUGGAUUUGGAGAUGAUCUGAAUCUGAAUUAUAUUGUGGGCAUGUUCUUGUUCAGGUGGCUGACAUUUCUGAUGAAUUGGGGAAGAAGCGUCGUCAGUGUGUUAUAUCCGGGGAAAAAGAGCAUGAAAAAGCUGAGAAAAAUACAGCUAUACAUCAACUACUCAACCACUGCAGAUAAAGAUAGUUACAAGUGCAUAUCUGUAGCAGAAACUAUCGCUUAAGACUGUGUUUUGGAGACUGCGAUGAAAGGCCAACAGUUUCAGCACAGAAACUUGUUGCUACAUGGUUCGUGGAAAUGGUUGGUGGAUUCAUUUGCAUCUUUUCUGGAGUUUUAGAUGCAUACACAAAGCUCAGAUACCUUUCAUACGUUAUGGAUAUCUCCACAGCAACAGUAGAUUAUCUUGAUUUGGUGCACGACAUUCUGCUGCCCGUGGUAAUCAAAGACAAAAGUAAGCACACAUUGAGUCACUAAGAGGCCAGUUUUCUGGGAGAAGUUUCUGUUUCUGUUCAAAUUGAGCAGAUACUCACUCUGGUCUUCGAGAAUUUCAAGUAACUUGAUGAAUCAUCGAUGUCGGGUAUUAAAGAUGUAUUCGGACCUGCAACAGGAUUGGCUGCACCUGCACUUGAUCCAGCUUUGUAGCUCUACAAAUGGUUGCAUGCUAUUCUUUCCCCGAGAUUGCUACGAGAAAAAGGUCAAUCAGGCACUUGUUUGAAAUUGAUAAGUUCUUUUCGACUAAUAACGAAAACAUGUUAUUGGAUCCCGUGGCUGUCUCCACAGCAUAUAUGAAAGGAAAAACUAAUGCAUGGGUCUCAAGAUGUGAAGGUAGCAGUGAAAAACAAAGUUCCUCUUGUAAGGUCGUUGACUUGAGCUGUGUUACAUUCUGUAUUGAAACAAGUAACACAGCGACCAUACCUAAGGUUCACGAGGAAUAUGUUCCCUCAUUUAUUUUGGAGUGGUCUAGGCAACUGGUAUGCUGUUUUAUCUUAUGAUGCAUCUGUCCGCCUAUGCCUCCACUCGUGGGCAAGGAGCUAUAUGAGAGCUCCUCCCUUUUUGGAAAAUGAAUGUUCACUGCUGAGGGAUGUAUUAGGUUAAGAAAUAUAUUAUUAAAAUCAGAGGAAAAGCUGACGAGGAAAGAUCAUUCUGAACUUGUGGGUGAAGGCGCUUACGUAAAGUCUAAG